GAGUUUGAUCUUGGCUCAGGACGAACGCUGGCGGCGUGCUUAACACAUGCAAGUCGAACGGUAAGGCUCCAGCUUGCUGGGGUACACGAGUGGCGAACGGGUGAGUAACACGUGGGUGACCUGCCCUGCACUUCGGGAUAAGCCUGGGAAACUGGGUCUAAUACCGGAUAGGACCGCACCGUGAGGGUGUGGUGGAAAGUUUUUUCGGUGUGGGAUGGGCCCGCGGCCUAUCAGCUUGUUGGUGGGGUAAUGGCCUACCAAGGCGGCGACGGUAGCCGGCCUGAGAGGGUGGACGGCCACAUUGGGACUGAGACACGGCCCAGACUCCUACGGGAGGCAGCAGUGGGGAAUAUUGCACAAUGGGCGGAAGCCUGAUGCAGCGACGCCGCGUGGGGGAUGACGGCCUCGGUU
Molecule: ribosomal RNA, 411 nt
Filed under: uncultured microorganism
Description: bacterial SSU rRNA
Rfam family: Bacterial small subunit ribosomal RNA
Source: RNAcentral